This is a long non-coding RNA of Stegodyphus dumicola, 518 nucleotides long. NCBI's taxonomy places the organism in Eukaryota, Metazoa, Arthropoda, Arachnida, Araneae, Eresidae. The record is from RefSeq and is a predicted model, not a curated record.
UACCAUUUUAGAUAGAUAUAAAUAACACAUUUUGUAAUUUUUCUAAACUGUGGUUAUACAGCAUGAUAUAAUAGCUACACAGGGUAUGGCGAAACAGUAUACAGCAAUAUCUGUCGCACUGUCUGAGAUGGGUGGUAGUCAUACAUAGCUUAAUGCUUAAAUUUGUUAUGUGUUAUUUAUUUAUUCAUGUUUUUUUAUUAUUAUUAUUAUUAUUAUUAUUAUUAUGUUAUAGCAGUUUAUUUCUUUCAUUCUUAGGUCCGGAAGUGAAAAAUUUGACUUUUCUACGCCAGAAGUUACAGCUAAUGUUCCUAAGACAAACCAGGCUUUCCUGAGUUCUGAUCUGGACAUUUCAGUUAUUGACUCUGACGUAGAAAUACAAGCUCUCUUUUGGGCACUUUUUAAUACAAUGACAGACAAGAAACACACUGGAAAUUCUGAAAAAGAUGAAAGGCAGGUGCUAUUCCUCGGUUUAUAGCAGAAUCGUAUACAAUCGUUACACAGACCGUGAAUGAUAUACG